AUUAUUAGUGCAGCAAAAGGCAUGACUGCAUCUGGGUGUCCCCUAGCAGACAGCAUUUGUUUAGUAAUGCCAUAGCUUGCUGUUAUCACCAGCCUGAGCAGCAACACAGAUCAGAUCCAGACAGCACCUUACCUGUCCUGCUCAGCCUGCUCUCUGCUGGGAGCCAUGGGAAAGAGCAGCUGUGGCUUUUAGUGCUAGCCCUGUGGUUGGCUCUGCUGUGGGCCCUGCAGGGGUGGCACAGCCAGCCCUUAGCACAGGAAGUUUGGGUUCCUAGAAUCAAUGGGGGCUUCGAUCUCCAUGUACUGGAGCGCAGCAGCCGGAGGAACCCUACGUGGAGGGGCCAGGGUGGUUCUUCCCCAGCACAGCCCCUGUGUGAGGAAGUGCAGGGCAGGGCUGGGAUGGGCCUUGAGCCCCUCCUUGAGACACAGCUGAGGAGACGAGAGAGUUUGUUGUGCUUUAUUUAGUAAAGUGUUAAAAUAAAUAAAUACAAAUCGAUCAGGUGCUCUGUACCCCCAUCCCCCCCACCCCUUCCCAGUUUAAUUUGCUAAAAUCUAAACACAUUUGUACCAAAACUGAAACCAGCAGGGACCUGAAGGCAACAAAGAGCCUGCAGGUCACUAUCAGCGUCAGGAUUUAAAAAAAAAAAAAAAGAUAUAUAUAAAAAUCACCAUCCAGCUCCUGUGUGGGUGCUCUCAUGUGUGGUGCUGUGAGAACAUCGGGGCACUGCUCAGGGUGCUGCACGGGAGGUCUGCAGUGACAGGAACCUGCCAGGGGGCUGCUCCCAGCCCUGGUGAGUGGUGGAAGCAGUGGCUGAAGGGCCACAGAGCAGAGCUGGGGUGGCCCAGCAGGGUUCCUCACCUGUGGCAGUGCCCUGAAGCCGUGGCUGAGCUGGCAGCUCGUGGUCCCGGGGCUGAGCCUGGGGCCGGUGUGGAGCAGAGUCCUCGGAGGAAGCCGUGGCUGCGUCACAGCAGUGACUUGGGCAGCGUGCCUGAUGGAAGGAGGGCUGAUGGGUGAGGCACUGCCCCCGGCUCUAGAGGCAGCCACCGCUUUGAUACCAGCGGUAAUUAAAGGAAAGAACUACGUGAGACUAAGAUUAGAAGUUGCACAUCAUCCUAGAACAAGCAGAAACACGCAGCCUGCUGCUGAUACCGCCCCUAUUCAGCACUGCCUGCUUGCAGCACCUGCAGCCCAAGAGAAGUGGUGCUUGAUGUGGCCAUCAGCUGUUGCACAGCAGGGAAAACAAGGCAUGGAGGGGGCCUUCCAUUCUUGUAAGUAAAUGCUCCCCUUCCUCCCUCUUGGCACACUCUGACUCAUGGUGGCACAGCUUCUUCCUCCGGACACUGAGGGCCCAAACCUGAGGCUGUGUGCUGGGGUGAGACCUGCCAAUGCGGUGUUUUGUUACCCAGUGGCACCCAGAAGGGCUCUCCCAAAGUUUGGGCAACACCGUUUCUAUCUCAGUGACAGAAGGGAGAAGGCAGGCAACACAAGGGUUGGGUUCUUGUGCAUCCUGGUGUAGGUUCAGGAAUAAGAUAAAAGCUGCAAACUGCCACAGCCCAAUAGUUCAUGCUGCUCCCUGCUGCUGGCUUUCCCUGCCAUCUCUCUCAGGAGCCUAGGAGCUCCUGUCACUGAGCAAAGAGGUCCUUUAGUCCUUCUUCCUCCUUAUGUGUGGGUUGGACUGAGUUUCUAGGGUGUUUGACACUUGCUUGGGUAUGAUGGUGAAGAACAGCACUAGAGCCUGCUGCCCUCCUGCCACCUGGCUGCAAGCAGCUCUCCGGGCUCAGUCCUUGCAGUGACCUUACAGCUGGUACACCUCACCACGCUGCUGGACCGCCCCUCCACAGGGGUAUAUAGGAAACUGGGUGCAGAAAGGCAGCAGAAGCAGAGCUGAGGUGGUGUGGUGCUUGUUUCCUUCUCCAUCUGCAGCCUAAAAACUCUUCUCCUGCUGCACUUUGUCUUUUUAGAGUACAGAUCAACCCACAUCACAAACCAAGGUAGGACAAAGAGCUCUUUUGUUCCAGUCCUUCCGCUCAACUCACAAACCUUGUAGCUGCAGCUGUCACUCCUGGAUCUUUCCUGCCUUCACCUUCCCUGUUUCUCACGUGUUCCCAUGUCUUCUCCCUGCUCUCCCUUACCCCAAAUACCCUUCCUUUCAGCUCUUCCUGCCUCCUCUCGUACCUCCCUCUGUCUCCAGACCCAUUCUCUGAUCCCUGCGGCACCCACCACUGGCACAGGGUGAGGAGAGGCCCCCGAGACCCCGUCCUUGUGUGGUGAUCUCCAGGAUAGCCAUUGCCCCAGCACAGAGGCCCUUGGCUGGGCUGUUCUCUGCGUGCUCCUCACGUAGCUGUGUCACACUGGCAGGAUGCUGGCAGACCCUCACACAGGUGUUACAAACAAGACUGAGGCUCAAAGAAGGAUCUGAGUAAGACGGCAAUAACCUGGAGACGGCUGCAGCUCUUGUGUUUUCCUGAUCCCCCUGAUUUUUAGGGCAUUCCCUGGCCCAGGUCUGAUCAAUGAAAGCAAAUGUUUGACAAUGCGCUGCUGUAAGGCUCGCUCGCACGCAUUCAGAGGCCGGCACCUAGCUGGCUGCUUGCAAGGCUUCUUUGGAGACAUUUUGCCUUCUGGAUAAUGGAAACUACAGAAUCCACGCGGUGCUCAGGAAUGGCCUUUGCUGAGGUAGUUUGUUGGCCAGGCAAGCCUCAGUGCCAAAUGAAUCAGCUGCACGACACAGUGCUGCUGUCUUUCUCCAGGUUCCUGACUCUUCAGCAGAGUUUCUACAAACGUGUCUAUCAGAAAACUCUCUGCAGUAACCCAGCAAGGCUGACCUUGCCCCAGAUCUUCAGAAUCCCAAAGGAGGACAAAAUGGAGGUGAAGAAGGGUCAGAACAGUUCUGAAAAGACACAACGAAGUCUGCCCGAAGGGGCAUGGUCCACCAGGAAGUGUAAUAUCAGUAUUUGAGUUGUUAUCUGAGCAGCUGGCGGAGGGAAGCCCCCAGUGAAAGAGUGAAUCUGGUUUGACAUCUGAAUAUGAUCUUCUAAAAACACAUUUCAUUAAAAAAACAUAUAUUCGUCACCAGUGCUUCAGAAGCAAAAGAGGGCAGGGGCCCUACUCAGCUGGGAAACAAAAGGAAAGAGAAAUGUGCACUGCAAAGUCACAGGUAUUUUCCACUGCAUCCACAGGAGAAGGAGAUGUCAGAGUUCACUCCCUGUAUUGUGGGCUGCCACAGCACGGUGCGACCAAGAGGGAGACUUCAAUGUUGACCAUAUUGCUUUUUGGGGCUGCCUCUGCCUCCGUCCAUGGAAGAUGAUGAUUUUGAAGCCAAGGAGGCCAGAAUUAGGGUCUAUACACCUAGACAGCUGGAAUACAGAUUUGCUCUCUCAAGCCUGGUCUGUUGGGAGGGAUAAAAUACCAGGCCAUUUUUUCUGCCAUCAAAACAACCAACACUGUGCCUGUAAAAUUCUUACCUCUUUAAUUUCUCAGCAGGUGUCUUUUAGCUCAUGUCCCCACUGACAGAAAUUCACUUGUUUAAAGGACAAAAUCUUUGUUCUGUUCAUGCAAACUGUUGGUUCCUCCUACUGCCAUGGUGACUCUUGGCUAAUGAAGAACCAUCUGCACCACUCAUCCCUGGAACGAUUGCCUUCACCGCAUUUUGCACAGCGCUAAAAGUUCCGCUGGCACUAAACGAAGAUAAAGAGGAUCUAAUGGUAGCACUAAUUCUUCUGGCCAGAUCACAUGCUCGUUUUCAGGCUUUGACCACACCAUACUUUUCCAGCUGCUUAAAGAACAGAUUGCGAGGAGAAGGGGAAAACUGUUUCUGCAAUUCUUAUUCUAUUUCUGAGCAGUUAAAGCAGCAGGAGGACUUCUGAAAGCCCUUAGCACUAGGCUGAGUGCCAGGAACAUCUCUGAGAGGAGCUUCCUCUGUGGUCUCAUCUUCUUCUCCUUUACGAGUGAGACUUAAAAGCCACUUACUUCCCACUAAUGACAAGCGAUGACAUAAGAAUUAGUUGUUACCUUUAUGGUGGUUUGGAAAUACAAAAUGCCAGUCAUUAGGACAGCUUCUUGAAGAGAAGUUCUAAUACCAACUCAGCCUGUCUCAAAUGUUGCAUGAGAGAAAAACAAAACAGAACAAAACCACAACACCCAACAAAUCCAAAAGAAAAGCUUGAACUUAAACUUGUCAAAAAGUUUGAAUUUUGCCCUUUGUUGGAAACUCUGAGAG
Long non-coding RNA from Tympanuchus pallidicinctus (lesser prairie-chicken), 4216 nucleotides. RefSeq lists it as uncharacterized. Lineage: Eukaryota; Metazoa; Chordata; Aves; Galliformes; Phasianidae. The record is from RefSeq and is a predicted model, not a curated record. The transcript is spliced from 2 exons.